UACAGAGGGUGCAAGCGUUGUUCGGAAUUAUUGGGCGUAAAGGGCGCGUAGGCGGUGCGGUAAGUCCGCAGUGAAAUCUCUGGGCUCAACUCAGAGUCUGCUGUGGAAACUGCCGUGCUUGAGUGUGGGAGAGGUGAGUGGAAUUCCCGGUGUAGCAGUGAAAUGCGUAGAGAUCGGGAGGAACACCAGUGGCGAAGGCGGCUACCUGGACCAGCACUGACACUGAGGCACGAAAGCGUGGGGAGCAAACAGG
This 253-nucleotide ribosomal RNA is filed under the name uncultured bacterium. RNAcentral's name for it is "partial 16S ribosomal RNA". It matches the Rfam family "Bacterial small subunit ribosomal RNA", at positions 524 to 776 of the family's 1533-position model. The record is from RNAcentral.